Molecule: ribosomal RNA, 468 nt
Filed under: uncultured bacterium
Lineage: Bacteria
Description: partial 16S ribosomal RNA
Rfam family: Bacterial small subunit ribosomal RNA
Source: RNAcentral
GACGAACGCUGGCGGCGUGCUUAACACAUGCAAGUCGAACGGAAAGGCCCUGCUUUUGUGGGGUGCUCGAGUGGCGAACGGGUGAGUAACACGUGAGUAACCUGCCCUUGACUUUGGGAUAACUUCAGGAAACUGGGGCUAAUACCGGAUAGGAGCUCCUGCUGCAUGGUGGGGGUUGGAAAGUUUCGGCGGGUGGGGAUGGACUCGCGGCUGAUCAGCUUGUUGGUGGGGUAGUGGCUUACCAAGGCUUUGACGGGUAGCCGGCCUGAGAGGGUGACCGGCCACAAUGGGACUGAGAUACGGACCAGAGUCCUACGGGAGGCAGCAGUGGGGAAUAUUGCACAAUGGGCGGAAGCCUGAUGCAGCAACGCCGCGUGCGUGAUGACGGCCUUCGGGUUGUAAACCGCUUUCGCCUGUGACGAAGCGUGAGUGACGGUAAUGAGUAAAGAAGCACCGGCUAACUACGUG